GGGGGAUUUUGAUACUAGUCCUUCCUUGGACAGGGAAUUCAACUUGACUUAUAGUUUCUGCUUGGAAAAUCACUCUCUACUUCCUUUUUAAUUAUUGCUCCCUGUUACUUCCUUACUCCCUUUCCCAGAUGAAAUAGAAAGGCUACCUAAUUCUGAUACACCUCGGAAGUCUUCUGGUGGUUUGAUUUGGUGGUAUUCUUGGAUUAUAAUAAUGCCACAACCAGAUAGAGAAAGUGCAAAAAGAGAAAAAAAGUACAAAGGUCAAUUGUGACUCAAAUGGAGCUUAAAAUGAUAGCAGAUCUGAACCUGGAUCCUGAAAAGAUGCACCCAAUCCAAAUGGAAUCUGCCAUUUUAUAUUCUGGAGUAUUAUAUUCUCUAAAAAAGACAACCAAGAGAACCUGGGAUUCUUCCUGGAUAGAGAUCGAAUGACACAACCUUAAGUAAAUUGAAUGAGGAAAGGGGCUAUGGAGAGCAAUGGAAGAGCUAAAGUGAUUGACUUGGCAUCAGAAGGAUCUGGACUUAUAUUCUUCCCCCCACUUUUACUUCUAGUUUGACCUAAGAUAAUUCCUUCAAACUCUCUAUGUCUUGGUUUCCUCAUCUGGAAAAUAAAGGACUUGAGGACUUAGACUCUGUUCA
This 636-nucleotide long non-coding RNA is filed under the name Monodelphis domestica (gray short-tailed opossum). Its description in RNAcentral is "lncRNA (ENSMODG00000045020.1)". The record is from RNAcentral. Lineage: Eukaryota; Metazoa; Chordata; Mammalia; Didelphimorphia; Didelphidae.